UACGGAGGAUGCGAGCGUUAUCCGGAUUUAUUGGGUUUAAAGGGUGCGCAGGCGGAAUAUUAAGUCGGCGGUGAAAGUUUGCAGCUUAACUGUAAAAUUGCCGUUGAUACUGGUAUUCUUGAGUGUAUAUGAAGUAGGCGGAAUUUGUAGUGUAGCGGUGAAAUGCAUAGAUAUUACAAGGAACUCCGAUUGCGAAGGCAGCUUACUAAAUUACAACUGACGCUUAGGCACGAAGGCGUGGGUAUCAAACAGGAUUAGAUACCCUGGUAGU
Molecule: ribosomal RNA, 271 nt
Filed under: uncultured prokaryote
Description: partial 16S ribosomal RNA
Rfam family: Bacterial small subunit ribosomal RNA
Source: RNAcentral